GCCCGGUUAGCUCAAUCGGUAGAGCGUGAGACUCUUAAUCUCAAGGUUGCGGGUAUGUAUUCCUCUCAACAAUCAUGGAGGUUAUUCGCAGUCAUAUGCUAACAUCACCUUGAAGGUUCGACCCCCGCAUCGGGCU
Non-coding RNA from Daldinia caldariorum, 136 nucleotides. Lineage: Eukaryota; Fungi; Ascomycota; Sordariomycetes; Xylariales; Hypoxylaceae. The record is from the annotation of a RefSeq genome assembly.